RNAcentral lists this ribosomal RNA (253 nucleotides) under uncultured bacterium. Its description in RNAcentral is "partial 16S ribosomal RNA". It matches the Rfam family "Bacterial small subunit ribosomal RNA", at positions 524 to 776 of the family's 1533-position model. The record is from RNAcentral.
UACAGAGGUCUCAAGCGUUGUUCGGAUUUAUUGGGCGUAAAGGGUGCGUAGGUGGCGCGUUAAGUCAGGUGUGAAAUUUCGGAGCUUAACUUCGAAACUGCAUUUGAUACUGGCGUGCUUGAGUACUGGAGAGGAGACUGGAAUUCAUGGUGUAGCAGUGAAAUGCGUAGAGAUCAUGAGGAAGACCAGUGGCGAAGGCGGGUCUCUGGACAGUACCUGACGCUGAGGCACGAAGGCCAGGGGAGCAAACAGG